UACGUCUGCGUGUUCUAACUCUUCAGUC
Molecule: non-coding RNA, 28 nt
Filed under: Rattus norvegicus (Norway rat)
Lineage: Eukaryota; Metazoa; Chordata; Mammalia; Rodentia; Muridae
Source: RNAcentral